CGAGUGGCGAACGGGUGAGUAACACGUGGGUGAUCUGCCCUGCACUCUGGGAUAAGCCUGGGAAACUGGGUCUAAUACCGGAUAUGACCAACUGUCGCAUGGUGGUUGGUGGAAAGCUUUUGCGGUGUGGGAUGGGCCCGCGGCCUAUCAGCUUGUUGGUGGGGUAAUGGCCUACCAAGGCGACGACGGGUAGCCGACCUGAGAGGGUGAUCGGCCACACUGGGACUGAGACACGGCCCAGACUCCUACGGGAGGCAGCAGUGGGGAAUAUUGCACAAUGGGCGCAAGCCUGAUGCAGCGACGCCGCGUGAGGGAUGACGGCCUUCGGGUUGUAAACCUCUUUCACCAGGGACGAAGCGUGAGUGACGGUACCUGGAGAAGAAGCACCGGCCAACUACGUGCCAGCAGCCGCGGUAAUACGUAGGGUGCGAGCGUUGUCCGGAAUUACUGGGCGUAAAGAGCUCGUAGGCGGUUUGUCGCGUCGUCUGUGAAAUUCUGCAACUCAAUUGCAGGCGUGCAGGCGAUACGGGCAGACUUGAGUACUACAGGGGAGACUGGAAUUCCUGGUGUAGCGGUGAAAUGCGCAGAUAUCAGGAGGAACACCGGUGGCGAAGGCGGGUCUCUGGGUAGUAACUGACGCUGAGGAGCGAAAGCGUGGGUAGCGAACAGGAUUAGAUACCCUGGUAGUCCACGCCGUAAACGGUGGGUACU
This 711-nucleotide ribosomal RNA is filed under the name Gordonia sp. KLBMP 1310. RNAcentral describes it as "bacterial SSU rRNA". It matches the Rfam family "Bacterial small subunit ribosomal RNA", at positions 92 to 817 of the family's 1533-position model. Lineage: Bacteria; Bacillati; Actinomycetota; Actinomycetes; Mycobacteriales; Gordoniaceae. The record is from RNAcentral.